ACAUAUCUCACAAAAUAUUUCUCUCUCCCUCACUCACCAUUUUCGGCCCUCUCUCUCUCUCCCUCAUCUCUCACUUUCCUUCACUUUCCACCAUUGUCAACCAUAGAUGAGACCUUCGAAGCUUCACCAAAAUAUGCCAAACACAUAAAUCACCAACAAAAUCCCACCUAAACACCUCCUAUCAACUUGAAUUCAAGAGAAUCCUUGAAGAUUGGCUUCAAGACUAGAGAGAGAAAGUUUGAUAUUUGGUGUAAACUUGGACCGAGCGAGACGAAGAAGUAAGUCGCCUGUUUUCUUUCCGAAACUAGCGAAGGACUUCAGACUAAGCGAGGAGCGAGAUUGGUCUGGUGCUGGUGUGGAAUUGUUGGAGGAUGUAUUUACUUUAUCGUAUUUCCAUUUUGACGAUAAAGUCUUAAUGAUUGAUAUACUUUGAUUUUCUUUUGAAUUUAAGCAAUGUACUCACGGUUAUAUGUCUUCAUACAUAUAAUCGAUUCGCCUUUUGCUGCGAUACUCUGCAUAUUAUGAUUCCUUACGAAAAAUGAGCGAUACCCGUUUUGUUUU
Long non-coding RNA from Salvia miltiorrhiza (redroot sage), 561 nucleotides. RefSeq lists it as uncharacterized. The record is from RefSeq and is a predicted model, not a curated record. The transcript is spliced from 3 exons. Lineage: Eukaryota; Viridiplantae; Streptophyta; Magnoliopsida; Lamiales; Lamiaceae.